GUCGAACGAUGAAGUCUAGCUUGCUAGACGGAUUAGUGGCGAACGGGUGAGUAAUGCUUAGGAAUCUGCCUAUUAGUGGGGGAUAACGUAGGGAAACUUACGCUAAUACCGCAUACGUCUUACGAGAGAAAGGGGGCUUUUAGCUCUCGCUAAUAGAUGAGCCUAAGUCGGAUUAGCUAGUUGGUGGGGUAAAGGCCUACCAAGGCGACGAUCUGUAGCUGGUCUGAGAGGAUGAUCAGCCACACUGGGACUGAGACACGGCCCAGACUCCUACGGGAGGCAGCAGUGGGGAAUAUUGGACAAUGGGCGAAAGCCUGAUCCAGCCAUGCCGCGUGUGUGAAGAAGGCCUUUUGGUUGUAAAGCACUUUAAGUGGGGAGGAAAAGCUUAUGGUUAAUACCCAUAAGCCCUGACGUUACCCACAGAAUAAGCACCGGCUAACUCUGUGCCAGCAGCCGCGGUAAUACAGAGGGUGCAAGCGUUAAUCGGAAUUACUGGGCGUAAAGCGCGCGUAGGUGGUUAUUUAAGUCAGAUGUGAAAGCCCCGGGCUUAA
Molecule: ribosomal RNA, 551 nt
Filed under: Moraxella lacunata
Lineage: Bacteria; Pseudomonadati; Pseudomonadota; Gammaproteobacteria; Moraxellales; Moraxellaceae
Description: bacterial SSU rRNA
Rfam family: Bacterial small subunit ribosomal RNA
Source: RNAcentral